UGGGGAAUAGCUCAGUGGUAGAGUGCAUGCUUGGCAUGCACAAGGUCCUGGGCUCAAUUCCCAGUACCUCCA
Molecule: transfer RNA, 72 nt
Filed under: Camelus bactrianus (Bactrian camel)
Lineage: Eukaryota; Metazoa; Chordata; Mammalia; Artiodactyla; Camelidae
Also listed under: 3 other names
Rfam family: tRNA
About the family: Transfer RNA (tRNA) molecules are approximately 80 nucleotides in length. Their secondary structure includes four short double-helical elements and three loops (D, anti-codon, and T loops). Further hydrogen bonds mediate the characteristic L-shaped molecular structure. tRNAs have two regions of fundamental functional importance: the anti-codon, which is responsible for specific mRNA codon recognition, and the 3' end, to which the tRNAs corresponding amino acid is attached (by aminoacyl-tRNA synthetases). tRNAs cope with the degeneracy of the genetic code in two manners: having more than one tRNA (with a specific anti-codon) for a particular amino acid; and 'wobble' base-pairing, i.e. permitting non-standard base-pairing at the 3rd anti-codon position.
Source: Rfam by way of RNAcentral